AAAUCUAUUUCCUCACAAGAACAUGGGGUGGUGCUCCUUUUUCAAUACAUAUCUCAUCUUCAGCCUGGACUAUAAGUCCCUAUGGCAUACUUUGAUCUGUGAACUGAAAUAUUCUCUUCGAGAGUCUGUUAACUCACUGUCCUUGCGGAUGCCAACACUAACACUGACUCAGAUGAAUGGGGGAGGGUGAUCCCGAUCCAGACAAUUGGCCUUCUUCUUCUAAGGGUGGUAAAGAGUUUUCUGAAGUAUCCAAGCAAGGUCAUGCCAUGGUUUUAACAACAACAAAAAAAAAAAGUUCAUGCCAUGGGUUUGAAGUUUGGGAUUCAUGUCAUGAGGGGAAUAAGUGCGCAGGCAGUCAAUGCAAACACACCAAUCUUGGACAUCACAAAGGUGUCAAAGAAGGGCCACAUAGACUAUCUAAUCUCAGUCCAGAUGAGCAAAGAACUCAGGUGACUUUAUGAUCUAUGGCCAAAUCGAUCACCUCUCAUGUUUGGGGGUGAUGCAAGGCAAAUUGAUAUGAGCGUAUACAAUCUCAUCACAAAUCCUGUAUUGCUGAAAAUAAAUUCUUUGAGCACAAACAACAUGGAGUUUCCUUACAUCUCUGGCACAAAUGUUUUAAGUGGCAAAAGGGUUCUCACCAAGCAAUCUAUAAGUUUGAAGUAUGAACCCAUAUUGGAAACAGGUGUUUCAGUUCCUACUAGCUGCAUGGAUCAAAAUUCUAAAGGUUAGGUUGUUGAAGCUCUUAGCUAACACCUUGAAUAGAUCUAUUGGAAGGAUUUCUUGGGAAAGAAGCAAAAAAAAGCCUGAUAUUUGCUUCUAUAAGAAGAAGGUUCUCUUGACAUCUUAUGGAAGGUUUCUACUUUAAUUCAUUUUUAUAUUUAAUUGGUAACAUCACUGUCAGUAUUGCUUCUUAUACUUGUUUGAAUGUUUUCUGUGUGAUGAUGAAGAGAUGAAGAGAAAAUCAACAAACAGAAAUAAGAAGGUCCAACUAUCAAAAACAAAUGCACCGGAUUUUUUCUUGGAUGCUUCUCUAAACCAGAUUACUCAUGAAGAGUCAAAGAACUUCUCAAUAUCCCCUUGCAGAUAGGGUGCUAACUAGGGGUGUAAGUUUAGCCCUGAUGAUCCAAACCCGCCCUGAGUCUGAACCUUGUCUAACCCAACUAUGAAAGCCAACCUGACCCAACCUUGUGUGGGGUUGGGCCGAGCCUAGGUUGAGGCAUAGAAAACCUAGCCUGACCUUAACCCGCCCUGAGUUUGACCUUAAUUAUUAUUGUGCUUUGUAGAAUGCAGGUGCCUCUUCUAACCAAGGGAGUUUCUUCUUGUUGUCAUUGAGUUUCUUGUAUAACAAGAAUAUGAUAGAGACCAGUAUAGCCAAAAGAGAAAUCACAAAGCCAAAG
Macadamia integrifolia is the source of this 1397-nucleotide long non-coding RNA. RefSeq lists it as uncharacterized. The transcript has 5 exons. NCBI's taxonomy places the organism in Eukaryota, Viridiplantae, Streptophyta, Magnoliopsida, Proteales, Proteaceae. The record is from RefSeq and is a predicted model, not a curated record.